GCUGCCCCGCCGUUGGGCUGCUGUGACGCGCAUGCUCGUGGUCCAGCCUGUGCGCGUGCACGCGUGCGCGGAACAGCGGACCCUGUUCCCGGCAGCUGACGAGGACAGCGAGCUUUAUGAUCUCUCAUCCACCACGGUGUCACAUCACAUUUCCCAUGGAGCCAUGGGAAAAGGGCAGCUCCGCUCCACCCAGUGAGCGCAGCACAGUAAAGGCCGAGGAGAAAUCCGCCAGUGACGCGUACCUCCCGGAGGACGGCUGGCUGCCAGCCCAUGCCCGAUUACGCUGUGCGAUCUUGCUGUGUGACAGCAUGGCACGUUUCAGGUGGAGAACUAUUUUGGAUGUCAGCAUGGACAUCGUGCUUGCAGGAAUGUGACACUGGAACCAGAAGCGAUGCUCUGGGCAAACUGAGGAUUGCUGCAUUGUUUCGCACAUUGGAUUCCGACAUCAGCGUCCCACAUUCUACUGAGCGGCUCUCAAAGAUUCAACACAUGGAAGAAGAGAACAUUUGAAAGGCGAUGUGUUCAAAGCCUGUGGAUCCGGACUGAGCCCCCGGGCAGCCGUGUCCCAGUGGGCAAAGGGACACGCUGUAAAUACAAAGAGCGCGAGGGAGGGACAGAGGAAGAAGAAAAGGGGCAACCGGGAACAGCUCAGGGAGCACAGCGAAUACCUGUGCCUUUGUGAGCUGAAACAGAUUCCUUCUUUUCAGAGUAGAAGGCAGCCAGCAGGGACGAACCUCAGGCUGCUAUUUACCUUCCAGGGGGUGAAUGUGCAGGGUUUCUGCGAGAGCGCUAUCCAAGCACAUCAAGCUAAUCAUAAUGUCUGUUAAUUUAUUCACGUGCUUGCUGUAAAUGCCUAGGUUUGUGUUACUAAUUUUCUGUAAGUUAUAAAGUUAAUGAGGUUUGAAAUCUAAUUAGUGUAUUUUUAUUUGAACCAUGCUAAUUAGUAUAUAGUUUCCUUCAGCCUUACAAUAGUGUAAAGCUCUGUGUCAAGAUUUGUAUUAUUUUUAUUUACAUUAAUAAGCUUCUUCUUAUGCAUCUAGUGUUUGCAGACAGGCAAUUUUUACUUUUGAUUGGUGGGUACUUUGGUUUAAAUGAAUGGCACUGGCAGCUUAGCUGGUUAGUUUGCUAGUUUAUAUUUUUACAUUAAAGCCCCUACUGUAUGUUUAA
Molecule: long non-coding RNA, 1167 nt
Organism: Paramormyrops kingsleyae
Lineage: Eukaryota; Metazoa; Chordata; Actinopteri; Osteoglossiformes; Mormyridae
Source: RefSeq, a predicted model, not a curated record